Molecule: long non-coding RNA, 2146 nt
Organism: Mus musculus (house mouse)
Lineage: Eukaryota; Metazoa; Chordata; Mammalia; Rodentia; Muridae
Product: predicted gene, 39145
Exons: 3
Source: RefSeq, a predicted model, not a curated record
GCUGUGUGUGGCCAUCCAAUGUCACAAUGAAGUUCUAAUCCCCACUUCAUUAGGGCAACAAAGAGGCUGAGCAGCUGAGCUCUCACAUUCCUUUUUUAGUUAUUUAUUUAUUUAUUCAUUCAUUCCCUUCCUUCCUUCCUUCCUUUUCCCAGUGCUGGGAAUAGAACUUCAGGCCUUGUGUAUGUUGAUUAAGUGCUCCACCACUGAGCUAUGAUUCCGGCCCUGAGGGUCCUUGUUCUGAUAUCUUGUGGUUUAGAGUACACAGAGCUAUGACUCUACCGGAUACAUCGUGACAUCUACAUCAACUUGCUCAUCAAAACAAGACCUGUACAGAGACACACUGUUGCCUGGACCAAACGUCUGCAUAGACCACCAUUACCCAGUUCCAGAUGGCCGAGAAGAUAAAGGAUUGACGUGUUUCAAGUAUUCGACCGGUUACAAAUUGUUUCAAAACGUUCCUCAUUCUGUACCACAACCCACAACAGUGACGCAUGCGGAUGAGGUGGUAGAGAAGCAUCUGCCUGGAGUCUGAACAAGAUGAGUAAACACCGAUGCCUGUGAGCCUCCGAAUCCCACGGCCCAGGGUGUGGCCUCUAUGGCCUUGGCCAAAGGUAACUCAGUAAGGUCAGCCUCUCCUCUCGCCAAGGACUUCUUUGCUGCCAGACCUUCCGAGCCUACUCAGAACACCUGAGAAUGAUGCCCACCUCCCCACCCCCAAUUGUCUGUAUCCUGUGGCUUUCUGUGUGGUUUAAAACAGUCAGCCCACCCUGUAUCUCAUUAGGGUUUGUUUUGAAGCAGGAUCUCAAACUAGAGACCCUUCUGGCUCCCAGCACGAGGUGUCAGGACCACAGGCAGGAGCUACUGUAGACGUGCCAGUGUGUAUUAUGCACCGCUCGCUCCUACCUUUCUUUACCCGCCACACUUUCUGCCAUAUUCACAGGGUGUUAGGAGCCUUUUGGCAAUGAUCAGACACUCGUGACCAUAACAUUUCAGGGCUGCAAAUGACCCAGGCCUUUGUGCUUGCUCACUGCCUACUCCCUCGAGAGGUCCCGAGGACCACUGAUGCAGAGGUGCCUCAUUAGUCACUGGGAGCCAGUAGACCAGCUGGAACUGAAAACAGACUCUUCCAAGAAAAGCCUGGGUUUUCCCCUUAGGCGUGCUGGGGUGCAGAGGAGGCCCACAGGACCUAGCGACCGCCUUAGCAUUCCAGCCCGCUGGACAGGCACGCAUUUCUUCCUCAAGAGGGCGCCGGCUGCCUGCGUCUAAGCUGUUGGCAAAUGGAUUCAGAGGACGGGAGUGACCUCUGGCCCAAGCACAGGGUUUCAAAAGCACCGGGGACAUUCCAGCCACAUCAAGAUUGGGAUACCAGUUCCGUAGAUCCCAUAAGUUCCGUGUUUCUGGACAGUUGAGGACUCUUUGCUUUAGCAUCUUUCAGGAAGUUGAGACCUUUUCAGCCUCUGCGCGGUCGGCGUUUUGGACUUAGAUGAGGAGGGGAUCCUUUUCGGAGGAGCACAGCAGCCUCGCCCUGCACCCCGACAAGGACGUGCCAGGGCUCACCCCGCCUCUCCUUCAACGCUAGGAUGGGUGGAGAUCCGUCGUCCAGUGAUGUAAGGGAGACUCUUGUGGCCCUCAAAAACUCGGAAACCAAGCUGGAAGGCUAUUUCUGAGCAUACCCCAGACCCAAGACAGAAUUCGUGAAUGUUCUACACAGGAUAUCACGAUUUCUGUCCUGUAAACUUUUCUUCCAGGGAAUUUUUUUUUCUCUUAUUUGUUUUAUCAUCUCCAAAUGGUGAUCGUUUGAGAAUUAUGUGGUGUUUAUCCUCCUGGCUAUAAACUCUAAACCAGUGCAGGGGCUCCACCCCCCACUCCACCCCCCCCAGCCUGCAUAGUUCCUAUUUCUCAGGAGCCAUUUAUCUCCCUUUUAUUGUUGUUUUCUUCAUUGGCUUCCCCCUCAGCCAGACAGGCUUAAUAACUGGCAGUCAUCACGUACAGCAGAGUGGUGGCAGCCACCCCCGCAAAGGGGACCCAGUCGUUUCCCAGAGCCAGAAUGCUCUGUAGCCACGGCCUCUAUUGUUUUCUUAGCAGACUCCGGUUUUGUUUCUUGGCUCUCCUUGAAUGAAGAAACUCUUAAAACAUCAUGUGUCUG